CAGUCGCCGCGGGAAUACCGGCAGCACGAGUGAUGACCGCUAUUAUUGGGCCUAAAGCGUCCGUAGCUGGCCACGCAAGUCCGUCGGGAAAUCCGCGCGCUUAACGCGCGGGCGUCCGGUGGAAACUGUGUGGCUUGGGACCGGAAGAUCCAGAGGGUACGUCCGGGGUAGGAGUGAAAUCCCGUAAUCCUGGACGGACCACCGGUGGCGAAAGCGCUCUGGAAAGACGGAUCCGACGGUGAGGGACGAAAGCUCGGGUCACGAACCGGAUUAGAGACCCCGGUAGUCCCUGUCUCUUAUU
RNAcentral lists this ribosomal RNA (301 nucleotides) under uncultured bacterium. Its description in RNAcentral is "partial 16S ribosomal RNA". It matches the Rfam family "Archaeal small subunit ribosomal RNA", at positions 459 to 759 of the family's 1478-position model. The record is from RNAcentral.